Non-coding RNA from Brassica napus (rape), 74 nucleotides. NCBI's taxonomy places the organism in Eukaryota, Viridiplantae, Streptophyta, Magnoliopsida, Brassicales, Brassicaceae. The record is from Rfam.
UCUGUUGUAGUCUAGCUGGUCAGGAUACUCGGCUCUCACCCCGAGAGACCCGGGUUCGAGUUCCGGCAACGGAG